Eurytemora carolleeae is the source of this 1583-nucleotide long non-coding RNA. RefSeq lists it as uncharacterized. Lineage: Eukaryota; Metazoa; Arthropoda; Copepoda; Calanoida; Temoridae. The transcript is spliced from 3 exons. The record is from RefSeq and is a predicted model, not a curated record.
AUGUCCUAGUUUUUCGUCAUCAUUAUGCAAUACCCGGCCGUAUAAAAAGGCCACCUUUUCGUAGUAGAUUCAGUCUGGGGUUCACAGGCAUAACUACUACUUCUCUUCUAACCAGGAUGGUUUUACGUUUCUAUGUUCUAUGUGGAUAAUAAUAAAGAAGCAAAACAGGAACCAAGAUGGAAAAAUUAAUUAUUUAUUAGCAUUAAUGAUUCUAAUUAUUGCUCAAUAGUAUCAUUCGGAAACAAACUUAAACCUUAACAGAGACUUGCGCAUAGAUAUUUGUCUGAAAUCCAGAAUUUGGUUCGAGCCGAAGAUUCAAGGCUUGUCACUUCACUCCAGUCUACCCUAUACAACAUUAACAAUAGUGAAAUUUAAAUAAUUUUAAUAUUUAAAUAAUGAUAUAAUAUUUACGAAAAAAAUUUAUUAUAAUUGAUAAAAUGUUCCAAAGUUCUAUGUAAAAUAAUGGUCCAUGUUACAGACUGUUAUCUGAACACUGUUACCUGUUCCAGACUAUUAUCCUGAACACUGUUACCUGCUCCAGACUAUUAUCCUGAACACUGUUACUUGUUCCAGACUAAUAUCUUGAAUGCUGUUACCUAUUCCAGCCUAUUAUCCUGAACACUUUUCCAUGUUCCAGGCUAGUAAAUUUAAUACUGUUACCUGUUCCAGACUAUUAUCCUUAACACUGUUACCUGUUAUUAGUCUGUACACUGUUUUCUGUUACAGACUAUCAUUCUGAACACUGUUACCUGUUCCAGACUUUCAUCCUGAACACUGUUACCUGUUCCAGACUAUUAUCAUAAACAGUGUUAAAUGUUCCAGACAAUUAUAUUAAACACUGUUACCUGUUCCAGACUAUUAUUCUAAACACUGCUACCAGUUUCAGACUAAUUAUUAUCCUGAACACUGUUACCUGUUUCAGACUAGCUAUUAUCCGAAACACUGUUACUCGUUCCAGACUAUUAUCCUAAACAGUGUUAACUGUUACCGACUAUUAUAUUUAACACUGUUAUUUGUUCCAGACUAUUAUUUCGAAUACUGUUACCGGUUCCAGACUAUUAUCCUGAACACUGUUACCUGUUCCAGACUAUUAAAUUUAAUACUGUUACCUGUUCCAGACUAUUAUCCUUAACACUGUUACCUGUUAUUAGUCUGUACACUGUUUUCUGUUACAGACUAUCAUUCUGAACACUGUUACCUGUUCCAGACUAUUAUCCUGAACAUUGUUACCUGUUCCAGACUAUUACUUUAAACAGUAUUCCUCCAGUUCUAUCUUUGAAACGGGUUCCAACUGACAUUGCUGCAACAAGACUUGUGCUCAACCCAACCUAAAUUAUAUAUAUUACAAGUUCUGUAAAAUUCAAAAAAGACAUCCAAAUUCACAAGCUAUUUUUUCCCGUAAUAUGGUACACUGUUUUAUGGCUUACUAGAAGGCAUAUUGGAAGAAGGUGAAAAAAGUGCAAAAAAGUUAGGCCAUAUUAAAAAGCUUAGUCACAAGUAAAACCUAUAUGUAUUUUCUUUAAAGGAGGACAGGACUUUAUAAUGAAUGGAAUUAACUGAAUAAAUUGUAUAAGGAAUGGUAA